GCUGGGCGUGGUGGCGGGCGCCUGUAAUCCCAGCUACUCAGGAGGCUGAGGCAGGAGAAUUGCUUGAACCCGGGAGGCGGAGGUUGCAGUGAGCCAAGAUCACACCACUGCACUCCAGCCUGGGCGACAGAGUAAGACUCUGUCUCAA
Molecule: non-coding RNA, 148 nt
Filed under: Gorilla gorilla gorilla (western lowland gorilla)
Lineage: Eukaryota; Metazoa; Chordata; Mammalia; Primates; Hominidae
Source: Rfam by way of RNAcentral